CGGGGCGUGGCGCAGCUUGGUAGCGCGCUUCGUUCGGGACGAAGAGGUCGCAGGUUCAAAUCCUGUCGCCCCGA
This 74-nucleotide transfer RNA is filed under the name Cellulomonadaceae bacterium. Its description in RNAcentral is "tRNA-Pro". It matches the Rfam family "tRNA". Rfam says of the family: Transfer RNA (tRNA) molecules are approximately 80 nucleotides in length. Their secondary structure includes four short double-helical elements and three loops (D, anti-codon, and T loops). Further hydrogen bonds mediate the characteristic L-shaped molecular structure. tRNAs have two regions of fundamental functional importance: the anti-codon, which is responsible for specific mRNA codon recognition, and the 3' end, to which the tRNAs corresponding amino acid is attached (by aminoacyl-tRNA synthetases). tRNAs cope with the degeneracy of the genetic code in two manners: having more than one tRNA (with a specific anti-codon) for a particular amino acid; and 'wobble' base-pairing, i.e. permitting non-standard base-pairing at the 3rd anti-codon position. The record is from RNAcentral. Lineage: Bacteria; Bacillati; Actinomycetota; Actinomycetes; Micrococcales; Cellulomonadaceae.